RNAcentral lists this small RNA (27 nucleotides) under Bombyx mori (domestic silkworm). RNAcentral's name for it is "ovarian small RNA-4908". The record is from RNAcentral. Lineage: Eukaryota; Metazoa; Arthropoda; Insecta; Lepidoptera; Bombycidae.
CGGACGUGGAUGCGGAGGUCGACUGAU